Non-coding RNA from Danionella cerebrum, 73 nucleotides. NCBI's taxonomy places the organism in Eukaryota, Metazoa, Chordata, Actinopteri, Cypriniformes, Danionidae. The record is from the annotation of a GenBank genome assembly.
GGCUCGUUGGUCUAGGGGUAUGACUCUUGCUUUCGGGUGCAAGAGGUCCCGGGUUCAAAUCCCAGACAAACCC